Molecule: ribosomal RNA, 251 nt
Filed under: uncultured prokaryote
Description: partial 16S rRNA
Rfam family: Bacterial small subunit ribosomal RNA
Source: RNAcentral
ACGGAGGGUGCAAGCGUUAUUCGGAAUUACUGGGCGUAAAGGGUGCGUAGGCGGUUUGGCAAGUCAGAUGUGAAAUCCCCGGGCUUAACUCGGGUGGGGCAUUUGAAACUGCUGAACUUGAGUGCAGGAGAGGAAAGCGGAAUUCCUAGUGUAGCGGUGAAAUGCGUAUAUCCUAGGAGGACCACCAGUGGCGAAGGCGGCUUUCUGGACUGUAACUGACGCUGAGGCACGAAAGCGUGGGGAGCAAACCG